CACAAACAUUUGUCUUAAGCCUUCUUCCCUUCUUCCCUAAGCGCCCACAGUUGUUUUAUUUGGCCCCACCAUUUUGUCCUGGAUUCUGAGUGUACUGUGAUAUCCCAGCAGAUGACAGGGCUGCAGUCUUAAAAACAGAGGUUCCCUGGUUAGCAAAGGACACAGAGCAAGACCAGGAAUGCCCAACAUGGCAGGUGGCCACGGGAGACAUUGCCAACCACUCACUCAUGGCGCCCAGUCCCUCUGAGCUCAGACAGAACUCCAUUAGCUUUGCCAAAGGAUCAUCUUUACUCAAAACACCCAGAGAUUCGGAACCUCCAGUGUGUGUUGGGUUGACACCCAGGGACUUAUACUAACAGGACCCAAGGUGUACUUACGCUAACAGAGCCUUGUCAUGAAGGGUUAUAGGGUGACUGGCAAAGGAGAGGAGAGGGUGACAGAAAGGGACUCAUUGAGAACAGAUGAGAACUGUGCAGCUCCUCCUGUUCUCUGGAGGAUGUUCAUUCAUUUCACUACCUGUGUACCUACUGUUCAUAGGCGCUGGGGACUGAGCAUGAGCUGUAUCGUAAUCAAGACAGGUGAGGUUCCGACGCUUAUGGGCAGAGGCAACCAUAAACCAAUGACUAAAAAACCAUUUUAAAUCUGAUCAAAAUCGCAUAAUGACAAAAAAGAACUACAGCAACAGGUCUGAGUAAAUCCCAUCCGGCAGCUCUGGCGUUUGUAGAAAACCAGAGUGGGAAUUUUUUUUUUUUUUUUUUUAAGACAGAGUCUCGCUCUGUCGCCCAGGCUGGAGUGCAGUGGCGCGAUCUUGGCUCACUGCAAGCUCCGCCUCCCGGGUUCACGCCAUUCUCCUGCCUCAGCCUCCCGAGUAGCUGGGACUACAGGGAAGGCAUCGAGCUUGAGGAAGAGGCCCCAUUCAUCUCCGUACCCCAGGCCCUGGUACACAGCAGGCAGCUCCAGGCGGGCACGCAUCUUUGUUGUGUUCUCUGCUGACUAUAUCCUCAGCACCUAGAACUGUGUCUGUCACCUAAUAGAUGCUCAAUAAACCUGCCAGUAAUUUCAGCAAAUGAAACGUGGAACACGUCAAGGCCAGAGGAUGGAAAAGGCUCCAGUUUUGAUAAAAGGAGGCCUGCUUGGCUUGGAAUCCUCUCUCCUGCUGGUUGGGAGAUGCAAAGAUGUUUCCAGAGAGGGGCUGAUGAAUUGAGGGGAAAGAAAUGAGCCCAGUAUGAGUCCCCUUUCAGGGCUGAGCGUGUAUAAAACCAAACAACUUGGAACCGCUCCAAGAGAGGGGAUUAAAGCAACAUGUUAUUCUGA
Molecule: long non-coding RNA, 1314 nt
Filed under: Homo sapiens (human)
Lineage: Eukaryota; Metazoa; Chordata; Mammalia; Primates; Hominidae
Description: HSALNT0384683
Source: RNAcentral